Molecule: signal recognition particle RNA, 316 nt
Filed under: Candidatus Bathyarchaeota archaeon
Lineage: Archaea; Thermoproteati; Candidatus Bathyarchaeota
Description: signal recognition particle sRNA
Rfam family: Archaeal signal recognition particle RNA
Source: RNAcentral
CGGUGGGUCUUAGGCGGGGGGCUAGGGGUCCCCUGAACCGUAAACCCUCUACACGACGGGCCGAAAGCUGGGGCUGAGGCACCCGUGACCGCCAAAACCUCCUAUUUCCGAAGCAGUGACUACCCGUCCCUUGGGGCUGGCGGUCAUCGGGCAACUUCCGUAGGGAAGUUGUCUCCGAUGUUAAUCAGGCGAACUUGGCCAGGCCCGGGAGGGAGCAACCUAAGUCUGGACGUUCAGCGCUCAAGGGGGUGCGGGUACGAGUGUAGGGCUUGGGGGGUUUGGCGGAUUCUGGGUGUCGAACUCCAGUGACCCACCG